UCAAGAUAUGGGCAUUCCUGGGUUAAAAGUUCUCUUCAGAAGGGGCUGAGGAGGAUGGAAAAUGAAGACUCUCCCAAAGGGUGGAACCAAGAGCUGUGGAGGACAAGGACACCAGAGCCACUCCCAGUGAACAGAACCACAGCCUAAUCAAGGAACAGACUCUAUCACAAAAUCAAGAGGAGCUGGAUCAAGCCUCAGGUAGAACAUGAGGUGCUGGACUUUAAGAAUGAUGACAGGAUGGAAUAUGGACUUUGGAGCUGGGCAGCCCUUUUGUGACCAUGAGGCAACAUUGAAGAUGCAAGCCACAUGCUAAGACAGAAGAAAAUAAAGACAGAACUAAGCUGGGGCAUGUAUGACAUUUCAAGCUCUCAGAUCAGCCCUUGAUGGCCACCAUCCAUAUUUAUUGACAUGAAAAGAAGUCCUCAUUUUGUCAAAGCCAAUGAUAUUCAGGACUGUUAUUAAUAACAAAAUACAAUUCUUCCCUCUACCCACUACAGUGUAUCAUGAAACUCUUCAAACAUAUAGGAAAGUUGAGUAUGGAAUCUCUAUCUCCAGCCUUGAGGUCUCACCUGGACUCUUGGUUAUUCAAUGGACUACUCUGCAUCUCCAUGUGCAUCUCUAAUAUAGACUCCUCAACCUUAAUGUAUCCACAACUGAACCUUUGGUUCUGUACCACUCCCGUCUUGCUCCUUGUCUCUCCGUUUCCCCAUCUCAGAAAUUAACAACUUCAUCUUUCCAGUUACUUUUCCUUCCUUCCUUCCUUCCUUCCUUUCCUUCCUUCCUUCUCUCUCUUUUCUUUUUUGAGAGUCUCACUCUGCCACUCAGGCUAGAGUGCAGUGGUGCACUGCAACCUCCACCUUCUGGGUUUUAGUACAGACAGGGUUUUACCAUGUUGGCCAGGCUGUUCACGAACUCCUCACCUUAAGUGAUCCACCUGCCUUGGCCUCCCAAAGUGCUGGGAUGACGGGCGUGAGCCACCGUGCCCGGCCCAUCUUUCCAGUUUCUUGGGACAAAAACCAAAGAUCUACUUUUCUCCUUUGCCAUAUGAGGACACAUUUAAAAGGCUGUGAACAAGGAUGCAGGCUCUUACCAGUUACCAAACUGCUGGUGCCUUGGUCUUACAUUUCCCAGCCCCCAGAGUGCAAGAAAAAAAAUUUUGGUUGUUUAUAAACGACUCAGUCUUGGUAUAUUUGUCAUAGCUGUCUGGGCAGACUAAAACAUGCACAUAAACAACCCUGUUUUCUGCCUUAACAAAUCAGGUAUUUAAAUAUAUGUUCCUGAUUCUUCCCAUAAUGUGUCAUUUGUAAUUUCAGUAAUAUAAUUUCAGACUGUUUAAAAAGCUUUUUGUUCAACCCAGUUUUACAACUGGAUUACUGAGUUGUCUAAAAUCCAAAACACUAUCAUUUAAGCCAGCAUUUUAGAUGCCUGAUCGUUUCAGUCAGGGUUCUCCAGAGAGACAGAACCAAUAGGGGAUACAGACAUGAGAGGGCAUUUAUUAAGGGAAUUGACUCAUGCAAUUAUGUAGCCUGAGAAAUCCCAUGACGGGCCAUCUGCAAGCUGGAGACCCUGAGAUUCUGGCAGCAUGGCUCAGUCAAAGUGUGACAGCCUCAGAACCAAGCUGAUGGCGUAACUCAGUCCAAAGACCCAAGGCCUGAGAACCUCAGGGCCACUGGUAUAAGUCCCAAAGACCAAAGGCCGGAGAGCCUGGAGUUGUGAUAUUGAAGAGCAAGAGAAGAGUGUUCCAGAGAGACAGAGAGAGAGAGAGAAUUCACCUUUCCUCUGCCUUUUGCUCUGUUGGGCUCACAGCUGAUUGGAAGGUGCCCAAAGAUAUUGAUGGCAGAUCUCUUCCACUCAGUCCACUGACUCACAUACCAGUCUCCCCUGGAAACACCCUCAGAGACACAUCCAGAAAUAAUGCUCCAUCAGUUGUCUAGGUAUUCCUUAACCCAAUCAAGUUGACACCUAAAAUUAACCAUCACAUUGAUUUACUUCCCGAAUCCUCUAUCCCAACUCUCAAAUAUGGUUUCAGGAUUCCUG
This 2037-nucleotide long non-coding RNA is filed under the name Homo sapiens (human). RNAcentral describes it as "HSALNT0102913". The record is from RNAcentral. Lineage: Eukaryota; Metazoa; Chordata; Mammalia; Primates; Hominidae.